Long non-coding RNA from Papaver somniferum (opium poppy), 254 nucleotides. RefSeq lists it as uncharacterized. The transcript has 3 exons. NCBI's taxonomy places the organism in Eukaryota, Viridiplantae, Streptophyta, Magnoliopsida, Ranunculales, Papaveraceae. The record is from RefSeq and is a predicted model, not a curated record.
CUUACUGCGUGUCACCGUUUGAUCUUUUUCGUUUUAUGUUUAUUUGAUUGAUUUCUUCAUUUGUUCUUCUUCGAUUUUCAAGGAGUGAGUUUAGUUACAACUAACCGAAAGACAUGAACGGAGAAGAUCUGAUUGCAUCUGUUAAGAACCGUUAAAGUUGAUAUGGGUCAACCUGUACUUAGAGCAUUGGAUGUACCUACCAAAUUACCAGCCAACAAGGACCAAGCUGUGGUGAAGGCAGGACUUGAAAUUGU